AAAAAAAAAGAUUAAUUCUUUCCUUUGCUUUUUUACAUGCCGUACCGAGUACCGGCACUGUCUUAGCUUCUCUCUCUCUCUCUCUCUCUCUGUGUGCCCACCUCUGGCUUCUCGAGCUCUGCAUUAGCGGUGCUGAGCAAGCCAUGUACGCGUGUUUCGCGGAUCAUCGUAGCUUAUGCAGAGCCCGUGGAACAUUUCUGUUCCUGUUUUUGUUACUUUCCUCUUUCUUCUUCGGCACUGGCACUUCUUGCUCGAACGGCAACUGCCAGGUAUUGGAUUCCUGCUCAUUGGUCACAGACUGUGGGGCAGGACUUUACUGUGGAAACUGCCCUGCUUUAGGCAAGACUCAACCCGUCUGCACCAGAGGCCAAGCUACUAUACCCACUUCAAUUAUCGGCGGGCUGCCUUUCAACAAGUAUACAUGGUUGGUGACACAUAAUUCGUUCAGCAUCGUGGAUGCACCAUCUUUGCCGAAUGUUCAAAGACUAACGUUUUAUAAUCAGGAAGAUACUGUUAGCAAUCAGUUGGGGAAUGGGGUGAGGGCUUUGAUGUUGGACGUGUACGAUUUUAACAAUGACAUCUGGCUCUGUCAUUCCUUUCGGGGGCAAUGCUUCAACUUCACUGCCUUUCAACCUGCAAUUAACACGUUAAGGGAAGUGGAGGCAUUCUUGAGGGCGAACCCUACAGAGAUUGUUACCAUUAUACUUGAGGACUACGUGCAUACGCCAAAAGGUUUGUCAAAUUUGUUCAUAAGUGCUGGUCUGGACAAGUACUGGUUUCCUGUGUCGAAAAUGCCCAAAAAGGGUGAAGAUUGGCCCACUGUAACCGAGAUGGUUCAAGAGAAUCACCGUCUUGUCGUUUUUACUUCCGUUGCCUCAAAGGAAGCCGAGGAAGGAAUUGCAUAUCAGUGGAAGUACAUGGUAGAAAAUGACCCUGGGGAUCCUGGAGUGAGACAAGGGUUGUGUCCCAACAGAAAAGAAUCAAGACCUCUUACUUCCAGAAGUGCUUCUCUUUUCCUGAUGAAUUACUUCCCGACAUAUCCAGUUGAAGAUGAAGCUUGCAAAGAGCACUCUACAGCGCUUUCUGAGAUGCUUGGUACCUGUUAUAAAGCAGCUGGGAAUGUUAUGCCUAAUUUUUUGGCAGUCAACUUUUACAUGAGAAGUGACGGAGGUGGUGUUUUUGAUGCUUUGGAUAGAAUGAAUGGUCAAGCAUUGUGCGGCUGUAGUACUAUUGCUGCCUGCCAGGUUGGAGCACCAUUUGGUUCUUGCAAGAAUGUCACUGUGCCCGAUAGAAGUCCCAUGACUAAUGCUGCUGGAAGCUUUUCUGGAUCUGUCCAGUUCUCUAAAUCUGCUUCAGCUCUCCAUUCUCUGAAUCUCUUCACCUCCUGCUUGUUACUUUUUCUACCGAUAAUGUUUUUAUUGCCACUACAAUGGCAAUUAUUUGGAUAGAAGAUUAGUACCUCAAGGAGGGGCUUAUAAUUUGUUAGUGUGUAAAAUUUUCGUGUCGGAACUAGUAUAACAAAUCCCUGUCUUAUCGAGUGGAAGAUUAAGGAAUUGUAGUCAGAUAAGAGCCGUAGAGUGGAAUUCUCGAGAUUCUUGCAUUGAGGCAAGGAAAGUGUUAGAUAGGAAGAUUGGCCAGGAGAGACCUGAAAUGUACCACAGCAGAAUUCACUAAUCCUCCAGUUCUCCCAUUCCAUAAUAUACCACGAAAGGGUUUUUCUUAUUCCAUAGAAGGGAAAACAUUGGUUGGCAGACUGUUUAGACUUUAGAACCAGAACCAGUCUGCUACAGUUUGACAGCCUUGUUCCUUCCCAUAAUAAAUUAGAAGGUGCAGGAAGAUUUAACUUUAGAGAUCAUGAUAAUAGGAUAACAAUGAAGGUGGUGGCUAGAAUCUCGGGACGAGGCCCUUUUAAAGGGUGUAACAUUUCAUGGAAUUCACUAUUAGAUCUUUUGAUUUGAAGAACCGGAUUUGGAAAUAGACGGAGACAUACAUUUGGCUUUACAGAUUAGUCAAUGUCAUGUUACACCGACUAAAUUAAAGUUCGUUUCAAGAGUAAACCGGCAUUCAUUAGGUUUAUUCUCAUUUGAGAGAAAGGUCUUAGAACUGAUUAGCUAUUCUUACUGUAAACAACGGCUUCCAUAAGAUCUUGUUGCCUCUCGUACACUUUGAAUUAGACAAAUUAUUUGUUCCUACCGCAUGUCAUAUAAACUAAACUAUGCUGAGAAAGUAAGGGGAACCUCAAGAAUUUUCUUUCUCUUUUUUCCUCUACAUUUUUCUCAUAAGAUUUUUACUCUGGCUUCUUUGAUUCUUUUUUUUUUUUUUUUCUCUGGGGGUUCAAGCAUCUAUUUUCUCUUCCUAGAUUCUCCUAUCUUAAUUUAUUAAUUUUUAAACAAAAAACUACUAGUUAUAAUGAUCUUUUCUUGAUGGGUCGAGGCCUUCUUCACUAACUUUUUCUUUCUAUUGUUUCAUUGCUGAAGAGAAUCAAUCCGAUAGGUCAUACCAGAUGGAUGUUAGAGUAGUUAACCUGCAUUUUAAAACAAAAUAAUCCUCGAGUGUUUUUCAGAUUCAUUCUACUUGGCUGGGAAAGUUAAUCUUCAUCUACCAGACCUGUAUUACCCUCAGAUAAUAUCAUCAGACACCAUAAUGAACCUUCAGCUAGAAUCAAAUACUACAAUAGCUAUUUGAUAAUGACAGGGGACAAAAGUUAGAGAUAUGUUCAUGUGUGAUAUAGAGAUGUAAAAUAUGUUAUU
Non-coding RNA from Carica papaya (papaya), 2750 nucleotides. The record is from RefSeq and is a predicted model, not a curated record. NCBI's taxonomy places the organism in Eukaryota, Viridiplantae, Streptophyta, Magnoliopsida, Brassicales, Caricaceae.